Dipodomys ordii (Ord's kangaroo rat) is the source of this 489-nucleotide non-coding RNA. The record is from the annotation of a RefSeq genome assembly. NCBI's taxonomy places the organism in Eukaryota, Metazoa, Chordata, Mammalia, Rodentia, Heteromyidae.
GCUCACACCCUGUGCAGCAGUCAGUCCCAGUCAGCACACAACAUGGACAUGAGAACCUAUGCUCAGCUCCUGGGACUCCUCCUGCUCUGGCUCCCAGGUUUCAGAUGUGACAUCAAGAUGACCCAGUCUCCAUCCUUCCUGUCUGCAUCUCCAGGAGACAGAGUCUCCAUCACUUGCCAUGCCAGUCAAGGCAUUAGCAAUGAUUUACACUGGUAUCAGCAGAAACCACGGAAUGCUCCAAAGCUUCUGAUCAAUUUUGCAAAGAAUUUAGUCUUUGGAAUUCCAUCAAGGUUCAGUGGGAGUCAAUCUGGGACAGAGUUCACUCUCACCAUCAGCAGCCUGCAGCCUGAGGAUUUUGCCACUUAUUACUGUCAACAGGAUAAUAGUUUACCUCUCACAGUGAUAAGAGCCAUAACAAAAACCUCCCAUGGAAGCAGAAGUGAGAGGCUGGGCUGCUCAGCUGCUCCUUUUGGGGCCUCCAUCUGCUGA